Molecule: ribosomal RNA, 641 nt
Filed under: Escherichia coli O145:H28 str. 2009C-3292
Lineage: Bacteria; Pseudomonadati; Pseudomonadota; Gammaproteobacteria; Enterobacterales; Enterobacteriaceae
Description: bacterial SSU rRNA
Rfam family: Bacterial small subunit ribosomal RNA
Source: RNAcentral
AAAUUGAAGAGUUUGAUCAUGGCUCAGAUUGAACGCUGGCGGCAGGCCUAACACAUGCAAGUCGAACGGUAACAGGAAACAGCUUGCUGUUUCGCUGACGAGUGGCGGACGGGUGAGUAAUGUCUGGGAAACUGCCUGAUGGAGGGGGAUAACUACUGGAAACGGUAGCUAAUACCGCAUAACGUCGCAAGACCAAAGAGGGGGACCUUCGGGCCUCUUGCCAUCGGAUGUGCCCAGAUGGGAUUAGCUAGUAGGUGGGGUAACGGCUCACCUAGGCGACGAUCCCUAGCUGGUCUGAGAGGAUGACCAGCCACACUGGAACUGAGACACGGUCCAGACUCCUACGGGAGGCAGCAGUGGGGAAUAUUGCACAAUGGGCGCAAGCCUGAUGCAGCCAUGCCGCGUGUAUGAAGAAGGCCUUCGGGUUGUAAAGUACUUUCAGUGGGGAGGAAGGGAGUAAAGUUAAUACCUUUGCUCAUUGACGUUACCCGCAGAAGAAGCACCGGCUAACUCCGUGCCAGCAGCCGCGGUAAUACGGAGGGUGCAAGCGUUAAUCGGAAUUACUGGGCGUAAAGCGCACGCAGGCGGUUUGUUAAGUCAGAUGUGAAAUCCCCGGGCUCAACCUGGGAACUGCAUCUGAU